GACGAACGCUGGCGGCGUGCCUAAUACAUGCAAGUCGAACGCAGUGGGGACGGGAGAGUAACACGUGGGUAACCUCCCAUCAGAGGGGAUAACACUUGGAAACAGGUGCUAAACCGAUACUGAUGGAUGGACCCGCGGUGCAUUAGCUAGUUUGGGAGGUAACGGCUCUCCAAGGUCACGAUGCAUAGCCGACCUGAGAGGGUGUGCGGCCACACUGGGACUGGUGCACGGCCCAGACUCCUCCGGGAGGCAGCAGUGGGGAAUCUUCGGCAAUGGCCGGAAGUCUGACCGAGCAACGCCGCGUGAGUGAAGAAGGUUUUCGGAUCGUAAGACUCUGUUGUUAGAGAAGCGGUAUCUAACCAGAAAGCCACGGCUAACUACGUGCCAGCAGCCGCGGUAAUUC
This 403-nucleotide ribosomal RNA is filed under the name uncultured bacterium. Its description in RNAcentral is "partial 16S ribosomal RNA". It matches the Rfam family "Bacterial small subunit ribosomal RNA", at positions 28 to 526 of the family's 1533-position model. The record is from RNAcentral.